CUCAGUAACGGAGAUAAAUUCUUCUUCUUCUUCUUUUCUGGGUCAGUCGUCCUGAGGGAUGUUCCCCUCCUCAUCCUCCUCAGGUUCUUCUGGAGCUUUAUUGAUUGGACAGAUUCCAAGAGUGAAUAAGGGAGAGAGAGACGUGCAGCUAACUGACGGGUCGGAAUCAAACCUGUGGCUGCUGCAGGAGGACACACGCCUCAGUACAAGAUUAACCAGAUGUGCCGACAUGAGACUGAAAAACAAAACCAAAGACUUGAGACCAAAACCAGGACAAAGAAAACAGAAGAGGGGGUGAAACCAGAAAC
Molecule: non-coding RNA, 308 nt
Organism: Paralichthys olivaceus (Japanese flounder)
Lineage: Eukaryota; Metazoa; Chordata; Actinopteri; Pleuronectiformes; Paralichthyidae
Source: RefSeq, a predicted model, not a curated record